UACAUGUGGGGCAAGCGUUGUUCGGAAUUACUGGGCAUAAAGGGUGCGUAGGUGGCUUGUUAAGUCAGGGGUGAAAGUUUUCGGCCCAACCGGAAAUGGCCUUUGAUACUGGCGAGCUCGAGUGCGUGAGGGGUAACCGGAACGAGCAGUGUAGCGGUGAAAUGCGUAGAUAUUGCUCGGAAGGCCAACGGCGAAGGCAGGUUACUGGUGCGCAACUGACACUGAGGCACGAAAGCGUGGGGAGCAAACAGGG
RNAcentral lists this ribosomal RNA (253 nucleotides) under uncultured bacterium. RNAcentral's name for it is "partial 16S ribosomal RNA". It matches the Rfam family "Bacterial small subunit ribosomal RNA", at positions 524 to 777 of the family's 1533-position model. The record is from RNAcentral.